RNAcentral lists this ribosomal RNA (379 nucleotides) under uncultured soil bacterium. RNAcentral's name for it is "bacterial SSU rRNA". It matches the Rfam family "Bacterial small subunit ribosomal RNA", at positions 26 to 391 of the family's 1533-position model. The record is from RNAcentral.
AGAUUGAACGCUGGCGGCAGGCCUAACACAUGCAAGUCGAGCGGCAGCACGGGUACUUGUACCUGGUGGCGAGCGGCGGACGGGUGAGUAAUGCCUAGGAAUCUGCCCGGUAGUGGGGGGAUAACGCUCGGAAACGGACGCUAAUACCGCAUACGUCCUACGGGAGAAAGCAGGGGACCUUCGGCCUUGCGCUAUCAGAUGAGCCUAGGUCGGAUUAGCUAGUGGUGUAGGUAAUGGGCUACACCGAAGGGCGACGACUCCGUAACUGGUCUGAGAGGAUGAUCAGUCACACGUGGAACUGAGACCACGGUCAGACUCCGAGGGAGCGAGCAGGUAGGGGAAUAUUCGGGACUAAGUGGGGACCGUAAAGGCGUUCGAA